This is a non-coding RNA of Pangasianodon gigas (Mekong giant catfish), 73 nucleotides long. The record is from the annotation of a GenBank genome assembly. NCBI's taxonomy places the organism in Eukaryota, Metazoa, Chordata, Actinopteri, Siluriformes, Pangasiidae.
CAUUUUAACGCUGUAGGUAUUUCCUGAUCAUAGCCUAGCCUAUCAACAUACCCUACCUAUGGUUCUGUGCUAA